GUUCCCUAGUCUUCAUCCAUCCGAGCCUUUCCCCUUUCUUCCUCUCUCGCUCGAAUUGCCGCAAAUGCUGCCACCACCUCCUCUCCUUCGAUAGCCGGAGUUGGGUCUGCCGUCAAGCUCCUUGAGUUGCCCUCCCUUGCACGGGCUACCUUCGGCCAUGAGCAGGGAGGUGUCAUUCUCUCACACGCGGCACAGCCUUGCGUGACCUAGCAUCGUCGAAGUCACCGACCUGGAUGCACAUCGAGCCGUGCCACACGAGGACAGAUCGGUGAUGUCGUAGUCGUCUCUGUUGCGAAGGUGAGCUGUCAGAUUCCUCUCGAUCUUGAUCCGAUCAUCGCCAUCAUUCGCCCCUUUCUUGUCGCUGUCUGGUUCUGAGAUGCAACGGCCAAAGUUGUCGUAGGAGGCAACGUCGAGGGCCAUUGGGAGAGAACGGAGCCCUCCAUUGCCGCUCCCUUCGUUUCUCCCUCUUGCCGAGAGCCCCAUUCUGUCCGAGUGGUUGUUGUUGCUGUAGGAAUGUCGUCUUUGGCCAUCAUUCAGAGGCUGCCAAAUCCUUGUUUCAACUACUCUUUGGCCACAAGAUCCAGUGUCGGAUCUUUCUUCUCCAUCCGACGAGGAGUCAAACACUAGUUGAGCAGAUACGGAUCUGAGAGGGAGCUCAGAUUCUUUACAACAACUUUGAGUUUUCUUCGUCGAAGGGUUGCAGAUCUAUUUUGGGGGUAACAAGUGAAGGGAGUGGGAGGGGCAGCAGUAGCUCUCUAGUGGUGGUCGUGAAACACCAUCAACUAUCUCCGGAUUUGGCACCUUCAUCUUGCUUCGAUCAUCACUAUGCAUGGGAAAUCCAUAGCUUGGGCUACCAUUUCCGACAGCAAGAUCUUCAGCCGUGAGAUAAUAGGGGCGCAACCAAAUUAAGGAUACUAGUCGGAGACACAUCUCGACGUGACAUUAUCUAUUAUGAUCGGCAGAUAAAUGCGGGUAGUAGGUAAAGGAUUUAUGGAGUUGCCUAGCGAUCCUGUCCGUUAGUCCCAAGUCAUAUCGAGCUUCUCCUUUCGUUAGUGUUUCCUUUCGCAUUGUUGGUUUUGUACUUGUUCUUGUAUUUGUGUAUUCUUUUAUAUGAAAUUUUGUUUUGUGGUAUCUUGUAUUUGGUUGGGUGAUGAUGUGUCAAGCCGAGCCGGCUCGCAGUAGUUGUUUUGUUCGUUUCAUGUUCGUUAUUUUGUGAUUUUCACUAUACUAUGUUUCAGUCGAGUGGGUUGCAUUAUUAACUGCGUAGUUAUGUUAUGCUUCAGCCGUGUGGGUUGCAUUAUUAACUGCGUGGUUCUGUGUAUAUUCCAGCCGUAUGUGGCUGAUGUAUUUUGUAUGUAUGUAUGCCUCAAAUUAUCACCGGUACAGGGGAGAUGUCGAAAUUUUUCGGUAGGGACUCCUUUAGGAGCAUGAUAAUAUUUGUUAUACUACUUCCUUCCAUUUUAUACUCGAUUCACUCUUCUGUCGGUUCUGGAAGAGGAUUUUAGUAGAUUUUCCAUCGAUACGAUCCGAGAAAUUAUGGGUCUUGGAGUAGGAGUCGCUAAAGACUCCGAAUCAAGUAACCGAUCACAUACUUAUGUUUCCUUACUUCAUUUGUUUUAAUUCAUCUGUGUACUCAUUUUCAAAAUAGUAAAAAGACUAGGUUUUUUUUUUU
Molecule: long non-coding RNA, 1672 nt
Organism: Zingiber officinale
Lineage: Eukaryota; Viridiplantae; Streptophyta; Magnoliopsida; Zingiberales; Zingiberaceae
Exons: 5
Source: RefSeq, a predicted model, not a curated record